RNAcentral lists this ribosomal RNA (532 nucleotides) under Streptomyces sp. 310H07. RNAcentral describes it as "bacterial SSU rRNA". It matches the Rfam family "Bacterial small subunit ribosomal RNA", at positions 93 to 639 of the family's 1533-position model. The record is from RNAcentral. Lineage: Bacteria; Bacillati; Actinomycetota; Actinomycetes; Kitasatosporales; Streptomycetaceae.
UAGUGGCGAACGGGUGAGUAACACGUGGGCAAUCUGCCCUUCACUCUGGGACAAGCCCUGGAAACGGGGUCUAAUACCGGAUAACACUCCUGUCCUCAUGGACGGGGGUUAAAAGCUCCGGCGGUGAAGGAUGAGCCCGCGGCCUAUCAGCUUGUUGGUGAGGUAAUGGCUCACCAAGGCGACGACGGGUAGCCGGCCUGAGAGGGCGACCGGCCACACUGGGACUGAGACACGGCCCAGACUCCUACGGGAGGCAGCAGUGGGGAAUAUUGCACAAUGGGCGAAAGCCUGAUGCAGCGACGCCGCGUGAGGGAUGACGGCCUUCGGGUUGUAAACCUCUUUCAGCAGGGAAGAAGCGAAAGUGACGGUACCUGCAGAAGAAGCGCCGGCUAACUACGUGCCAGCAGCCGCGGUAAUACGUAGGGCGCAAGCGUUGUCCGGAAUUAUUGGGCGUAAAGAGCUCGUAGGCGGCUUGUCACGUCGAUUGUGAAAGCCCGAGGCUUAACCUCGGGUCUGCAGUCGAUACGGGCUA